RNAcentral lists this ribosomal RNA (490 nucleotides) under uncultured bacterium. RNAcentral's name for it is "partial 16S ribosomal RNA". It matches the Rfam family "Bacterial small subunit ribosomal RNA", at positions 30 to 507 of the family's 1533-position model. The record is from RNAcentral.
AUUGAACGCUGGCGGCAUGCUUUACACAUGCAAGUCGAACGGCAGCGGGGUAGUGCUUGCACUACUGCCGGCGAGUGGCGAACGGGUGAGUAAUAUAUCGGAACGUACCGAGUAAUGGGGGAUAACCAAUCGAAAGAUUGGCUAAUACCGCAUACGUCCUGAGGGAGAAAGCGGGGGAUCGCAAGACCUCGCGUUAUUCGAGCGGCCGAUAACUGAUUAGCUAGUUGGUGGGGUAAAGGCCUACCAAGGCGACGAUCAGUAGCGGGUCUGAGAGGACGAUCCGCCACACUGGGACUGAGACACGGCCCAGACUCCUACGGGAGGCAGCAGUGGGGAAUUUUGGACAAUGGGGGCAGCCCUGAUCCAGCCAUGCCGCGUGUAUGAAGAAGGCCUUCGGGUUGUAAAGUACUUUUGUUAGGGAAGAAAAGGGAAGUGCUAAUACCACUUUUUGCUGACGGUACCUAAAGAAUAAGCACCGGCUAACUACGUG